AGAGUUUGAUCCUGGCUCAGGAUGAACGCUGGCGGCGUGCCUAAUACAUGCAAGUCGAGCGAACGGACGAGAAGCUUGCUUCUCUGAUGUUAGCGGCGGACGGGUGAGUAACACGUGGAUAACCUACCUAUAAGACUGGGAUAACUUCGGGAAACCGGAGCUAAUACCGGAUAAUAUUUUGAACCGCAUGGUUCAAAAGUGAAAGACGGUCUUGCUGUCACUUAUAGAUGGAUCCGCGCUGCAUUAGCUAGUUGGUAAGGUAACGGCUUACCAAGGCAACGAUGCAUAGCCGACCUGAGAGGGUGAUCGGCCACACUGGAACUGAGACACGGUCCAGACUCCUACGGGAGGCAGCAGUAGGGAAUCUUCCGCAAUGGGCGAAAGCCUGACGGAGCAACGCCGCGUGAGUGAUGAAGGUCUUCGGAUCGUAAAACUCUGUUAUUAGGGAAGAACAUAUGUGUAAGUAACUGUGCACAUCUUGACGGUACCUAAUCAGAAAGCCACGGCUAACUACGUGCCAGCAGCCGCGGUAAUACGUAGGUGGCAAGCGUUAUCCGGAAUUAUUGGGCGUAAAGCGCGCGUAGGCGGUUUUUUAAGUCUGAUGUGAAAGCCCACGGCUCAACCGUGGAGGGUCAUUGGAAACUGGAAAACUUGAGUGCAGAAGAGGAAAGUGGAAUUCCAUGUGUAGCGGUGAAAUGCGCAGAGAUAUGGAGGAACACCAGUGGCGAAGGCGACUUUCUGGUCUGUAACUGACGCUGAUGUGCGAAAGCGUGGGGAUCAAACAGGAUUAGAUACCCUGGUAGUCCACGCCGUAAACGAUGAGUGCUAAGUGUUAGGGGGUUUCCGCCCCUUAGUGCUGCAGCUAACGCAUUAAGCACUCCGCCUGGGGAGUACGACCGCAAGGUUGAAACUCAAAGGAAUUGACGGGGACCCGCACAAGCGGUGGAGCAUGUGGUUUAAUUCGAAGCAACGCGAAGAACCUUACCAAAUCUUGACAUCCUUUGACAACUCUAGAGAUAGAGCUUUCCCCUUCGGGGGACAAAGUGACAGGUGGUGCAUGGUUGUCGUCAGCUCGUGUCGUGAGAUGUUGGGUUAAGUCCCGCAACGAGCGCAACCCUUAAGCUUAGUUGCCAUCAUUAAGUUGGGCACUCUAAGUUGACUGCCGGUGACAAACCGGAGGAAGGUGGGGAUGACGUCAAAUCAUCAUGCCCCUUAUGAUUUGGGCUACACACGUGCUACAAUGGACAAUACAAAGGGCAGCGAAACCGCGAGGUUAAGCAAAUCCCAUAAAGUUGUUCUCAGUUCGGAUUGUAGUCUGCAACUCGACUACAUGAAGCUGGAAUCGCUAGUAAUCGUAGAUCAGCAUGCUACGGUGAAUACGUUCCCGGGUCUUGUACACACCGCCCGUCACACCACGAGAGUUUGUAACACCCGAAGCCGGUGGAGUAACCUUUUAGGAGCUAGCCGUCGAAGGUGGGACAAAUGAUUGGGGUGAAGUCGUAACAAGGUAGCCGUAUCGGAAGGUGCGGCUGGAUCACCU
Molecule: ribosomal RNA, 1540 nt
Filed under: Staphylococcus aureus
Lineage: Bacteria; Bacillati; Bacillota; Bacilli; Caryophanales; Staphylococcaceae
Description: 16S ribosomal RNA
Rfam family: Bacterial small subunit ribosomal RNA
Source: RNAcentral